CGCAGGACUCUCGCCCCUACACACCUUCCUGCCAGCCAGAGGAGGGGUCUGGGACUGAGAGAAGACCAGUGCUGACUGAGGGAUUGAACUUGGGACCUUCUGCUUGAGAGGCAGGCUGUGGAACCACUGAGCUAAAUCCCUGGCCCUCCUUUUCUAAACUAUAGAAAAUUGGUGACAUUUGAACAAGUCACCCUGAUUAAUAUCUUACAACUUUGUCUUAAGCAUUGUUUCCCCCUCCACUUCUAUACAGGUAAUUACAGGUACUGUUAUUCCCAAGUAGUUUAUACAUUUUCUUUCUUUUUCUCUUUUUAAACUAAGAAUCUAACCCAGGGCUUCCUGUAUGGCAGGCAAGCACUCUAUCGCUGAGCUACACCCCAGCCCCUCUGUUGGAUAUUAACUGGUACUAUUUACAUUGAGCUGUUAAAUAUGAAAAUACUGAAACAUGAGACUUUGUAACCCUGCAGAAUGAGAAAAGGCUAUGUGAAUUAAAAAAAAAUCCAAGAGUAGAUCUUGGCAUUAACCACUUUCAAUUUUUACUAGUGAUACAUUAUCAAAUACAUCUUUAAAAAAUGAAAGCAUUCCGCUGGCUUGUUUAAAUUGCUUGUAAAGCAAUUGACAGUUAACCACUCUUGCAAUCAAAGAAGGAAUCAAAGAUGAAUGCUGUUUAGCACUGUUCACCAGGCAGAGAAAAUAGUCGACACUCAUUAAACAUCGCUUGAUACAAUAAUAAUAUAAAUUAUUGGACUCCCUAAUAAAGUAUUUCACUAAUAAUUUGCAAAGAAGUUGGCCUAAGGCUCUUCUCUCAGCAGCACUAACUUUCAUGCUUGUCACAAAGUAUUUGUAGGGGAGGUCUCAAUCUCCAAAUUUCAGAAAAGUGCUUUACAAGAAGGAAUUGUUAUUAGGGAAUCCAACAUAAUGAUUUUAAAAUUCUAAUCAUUUUUCUCUUCUCAAAAGUGCUGCGUGAAUUGCAGAAAUUAAUGAAUGCAGAGACAUAAAAGAAGAAAAAAAUGAAACCGUAAUCUUCUCUCCAAAGAUAAAACCAUGGUUAACAUUUGAUGUUUUUCCUGCUGCCAUAUAUGUAUUUUUCACAGAAAAGGGCUCAUAUUGUGUAUAUUGUUUGAUAAAUGACUUCUUCACUCAGUAACAAAUCUUGAAUUUCCAAGUCGAAAUCAUUUUUCUACAACAUCAAUUAAAUGACUAUGUUGUUAUCAUAAAUAUUCUUAUCAUUAGACAUUUAGGGUUUUUUCUAGUUUUUAAUUUUAUAAACAAUGCCACCCUGAACAACUUUAUCAGUAAAAUUCUCAACAAAUUUUUACGUUUUCCUUGAAAUAUAUUUCUGGGCCAUGGAAAUAGGAGGGAGGAAUUUGGUAAGAUUUAUCUGUAAUACAUCAAAUUUUCCUUUUUUUGCUUCUUCUUUGUUUACUUUCUUUUGUUUCUGGUCUUUUGUAGAUUAUUCAAAACCAAACAAAGCCAUCAUGGAGAACAGUGGGUUCCAGACACUUGGGUGAGGCCCUGAGAAAUGAAGUGAGCCCACACCACGACCCAGGAUGGAGUUCUCCAAGCAUAUCCUAGCAGGACCGUUUUCACUAGUCGAUGGUUCACCUCUCAUUGCUUCUUCCCAGUUGAGCUUAGAUUUCUAGAUUCCCAUGGUAGUGCUUAGCAACAUCCCUGGAGUGAUCAGGAGGAGGGGAUUCCUAUUCUAGGCUCCUCAGGCACACACAAAAGAGGGUGAGGCUGGCUGACUUGUGAGGAAGAGCAGUAGGAACAGGGAAAUACUAGAAGACAGCUCAUCAUGCUGAAUGGAUCUCCACCACCAUACCUGUAGCGCCCUGGACAGUUGAGGUAAGGGUGGGGCCAGCUAUAGCUCCAGGGUUUGCACCCAGUCUUCUUUGAGCCAAGCAAAGCUGCCAUGUGGGGUGUUCUCCCUGCAGAGAGCUUGCCUAACACUGGGCCAAGUGGCACUUUCUCAUGGCUUCACAGAAGACAGCGUCUCAUGAAGGCAAGCCAAGGACACAGACAGGGAGGAAAGGAAGUGGAAGAACAGCGAAUCAGCAUAGUAAGAAAGGAAAGGGGGGUGGAAAAAGAGGCAGGGUUCAACAGUCCAAGCCCAUGCAGUGGUUUUCACAGUGUUCUGAUUUGGAGUCUAGUUUGAAGAGGAUGAUUUCAUAGUCUGUGUAGGAAUAAGGGGCAUUUUUACUGAAAAAUGCAAAAAAAAAAAAAAAAUUCAUUUUCAGUUGUUACAUCCAGGUCAGUUUUAUGGGUACAGCUAAUCUCUGGUUAAAUGUUAACACUUCAGUUAUCCUAAGGGAAAAAUGACUGACCCCCAACCUUCCCCUUUCCCAGCAUUUGGAGAAAAUAAAGGAUUAGGUAAAAGGCUUUCAUUUUUCCUCAUUCUCCACUGUGGGCAGGGGUUCAUGUAACAGUUGGAAGCCAUUUUUAACAGGAAACCCAAGUAAAUCCAGAAGAGAUUCACUCACAGAGCUUACAUUUUGCUAGAAAAUGAGAACUUUUAACUAAAAAUUGACAAGUUUCCCCUCUCUCCAUCUUUCUUCCCUCUUAUCUCUCCUCAUCUCCCUCCCAUUGCUCUAGUGGAAAAUGACUGUGGUGAGUUGGGUUUACAUUUUGAGCAAGAUGGGAGCCUCUAUAUCCAAGAGAUGCCACCAAGAGACUACAUUUUGUUGUUGGAUCCCUGUAAAACAGAAUUUUAAUUUUCUUAGACUGUAAAAUUGAUCACAUUUACUGAUGGUGGAUUGGGAAGUACGGUGAGGUGAGUUGGGGAGGUUUCAUUUAUCCAGUGGUGUUAUUGCCAUUUUAAUGUGAUCUUCUGCUGAGUAUUUGCUUUCUAAAAUCUAUUCCCUCUCAGGAUUCUUUUUCACUCAGUCCUUUUAGAAGAUUGAUGCAAACAGAUUUCCAAUUCAUUUCCAUAGAAAGUCUUCAUUCCUGUCAGCAGGAGAGCUUUGUUAGGUGGUAGGAACAUAAGGCUGUGGGUCUCUUAACUAACACUACUAUUCCAAAAUACAGAUGCUUUCCAUCUGUGAGUCCUGAUCUCUCUCCAUUCCUCAAGAUGCUCGACUUCCAUGACUCCUCUUUCCUCUGCUCAGGUCACAUAUGUGGAGCUGGAAAGGAUCCCUGAUGAUUGGCAGUGACAAUGGUGGAAUGUGGAGGUGAAGUUAACACCUUCACACCUACAGAUUUCCCUUAGCAGAGCUGUGGAGUGUGACAAUGGUGUUUGUGUCCAAACUAUCAAACGCCAUCAUCACACUAAAUAGCUACUGCUAGGCAAUCCUUCCACUCAGUAUAAGUCUUGGCAACUGUUUGGUCUGGGCAAGAAGGCUCAUCUUAUACCAACCAGUGUUCUCUAUCAUGUGUAACUUGGAAUAAAGUCUGAUACUCUUGUGGUCAUAACUAUUUGCCUGCCUGAACCCUGCCUCUCACACGCUGUUGUUAAAUAGAUGAUAAUUCUGAUGAUAAAGAAAAAACAACUCAAAAUCAGUUUCUCCCAUUGUACACUCACAACACAAAUCACUUCUGGCACCAGAUAUUUGAGGAUCUCUCCCCAACAAGCAAGCAGUUAAUUCCACAGCAGACUCCAUCUGGGAGUCCUCUAAUCUAGUUCUGCUCUGACACUCUACCUGGAGAUAUUGUCACAUGCCACAGGGUGAAGGCUCAGUCCUCAAGAAGGCACCUCAUUCAGAUGUCAGGCACAAGCCCCAGAUUGUUUUCCCUGUGCUUCUGACCUACUUUCGAUAAAUCAGGGUUCCCACAUUGCCUCCUCGAGUUCAAUUCAUUUGUUUGAGCAGCUCACAGAACUCAGGGAAAGAUAUACUUACCUUUAAAAGCUUAUUAUAAAGCAGACGAUAAAGGCUACAAAGGAAGAGAUGCACAGAGUGAGUUUAGGGGUAGUGGGUGUAGAGCUUCCACACCCCUUCUAAGAGUGCCAUCCUCCAGUACCCUCCAUGUGUUCAGUUACCCGGAAGCUCUCUGAACUCUGUCCUUUUGGGAUUUUUAUGGAGACUUCAUUGCACACACAUGACUGAAACUUGUAUAGCCAUGUUGAAAUGUGAUUGGAUGAAAGAGAAUGAUCUAAUGAAUAGACUGGGUGGGAAAGCCUAGCAAGGACUGUCUGUCCAGAUUCUUAGCCUUUCUGUGCAGCAUUCCAUUCUUGUGGGCCUGGGGUAGCACCCCCUCCAUGUGAGGAGGUUCGAAUGACAACUAUCACGUGAGGUAGGCCGGAGUUAUAACCAGGAACUGUGGUUCAAAAUAGGUAUAAAUCAUAAUAUCACAGUGACAAUGAAUUUUCUUAUUUUCUCCAAGUCAAUAAAAAGAUUGGAGUCCUGUAGAGCCCCCAGCACAAGGUUAGGCACCUGGUAAUCAUUUAACUCAUGCCUACUCCGUUGAAAUGAAUAGUUAGGAAAGUAGAAAACUAAAACUCGGUUAAAUCUAGUUUAGGCAAACCACAGCCUCAUAGGUGCUAAGUUAAGGUAUGUGGGUCUUCCGCUUUAUAAAAAAAAUACAGUUUAAAAAAACCCAACAAUAAACUUGUCCAUGACUUAAAUGACCUUUCGGAAAUUCCAGAACAUCUUUGAUUUCUACUUAUUUUAACCAAUUACCAGGCGGAUUGCUCAAUUUGUAUGCUAAUUUCUUCUUCCUUAUGUUUCAAUGAAUUGCCAUUAGAAAGAUUAUAUAUAAAUCAUGUAUAAACUGCCAGAGCAAAUCUGAACAUUUUUAAGCCAUGCGGUUUCUUGGACAGUUGGCCCAGCUGGGUGGUCUGGUUUGGAACACAGUCUCUCUCCGAGGGCAUCUAAAGUAACAAGUAGAUUCUGUGUGUGGGCUAAAGCUUCUCCCCUGUGUCUUGGCUAGAUAAUCUAGGAUAUGUUUGAUCAAAUUGACAGGAUUGGAUCAACUGCUAGAACUAAAUCAAUCAAUCUUCAUUUAUCAAAUAAAUAUGUGCACACGGACUCCCAUGUAGCUGGCACUAGCUUAGGCCCUGGAAAUAUUUUAAAAUUAAGUGUGUCUGGCAUUGUUUCCAGAGAUAGACAUUCACUGGCUCACAUUCUGUUAUUAUGGGAUAAUUCUAAUAGUCCAAAUUACAUUUAUUACAGAAUCCAAUGAGCAAAACUUUGCAAACUGAUUCCAAGUCCCUUGCUGGAAUGCACCAGUGAGUGCAGCCCACACAGCUAGGAUCUACUGCAAAAGUUUCAAGGUCAGGAGAACUUAUUGUCCAGAGAAGAAAGGGAAGUGCAUUCCUGCCUGCCCUCACUUCCACCUCCCAUUUCUUCCCUUCUGGCAUCCUCAACUGUCAAGAGGAGAUCUAGAUCCCCCUGAAAUAAUCCAUACCCUCACAUUCUUUCUCAUGUGUGUGUGUUUUAAGAGAAAGCACUAUUGACAAGAAUUAAUCAAGGGCUUUACUAUUAUAAGAAUCACUUCCAUGAAUACUGUUUCAUUUGGCCCGUACAACACAGGGCAAAGAUGACAGGAUAUAGUCCCCUCCUACAGAAGGAAAAUGAAGACUCCAAAUGUUUUUGAACCAUCUGGUUAUGUAACCAUAAUUCAACAUAGUCCUCUUAAAUCUAAAGUUCUGUGCUUUACUUAUAUCCUUCCUUGGGCAGGUUAUUUCACAAAACCUCAUGCUUCAUGGCUGAGGUUAUGUAGAAACUGGAUUAAUCAUACCCCUAUUCGAUCCAUAUCUUCAGUUUCCCAUCUGCUUUGUUGAUGGAUUCUAGGGGAAACCCCAUAAAUAAAAGAGAGAUGAGUCAUAUAACGAUCUCCCCUUGUGAACACUCAUAAUGCAGAGAAAGCCUAAUAUUGCAAAACAUUGCAAUAGAAAAAUAAAAGAGAAGUAACACCUAUGUGGCAGUUUUGAGGUAAGGAAGGGGGUGGUCAAGUUGUCCAGACAUGGAACAGCCAUUCUAGUAAUCUGGCCCACUGAGGCAGCACUGGAUCAUUCAGCGCUCUCAGACUUGAAGGUGAUGUGACCACUUGACCCACUCAUUCUUCUUUGCUAUACUCACCCUAAGAGUUUGCUCGGGUGGAACUAUACUGGGAGCAAAUAGAAGAGGAUUCUAUAGUAUAUCUUUUUUUACCAGCUCUGCUCAUUGUAUGGCUUAUUGUAAUUGCUGCCUGGAUUAAUUCUGCAUUCAAGAUUGGAUGUCUGUUCUUUCUGUAGAUCUCUAAGGAACACACAUAGAAGACAAAACAUCCACAUCCCCACUUUAAAGACACUUUUUUUCUUUUGGUACCAGGGAUCGAACUCUGGACCUUGCGCUUGAGAGGCAGGCGGCGGAACCACUGAGAUAAAUCCCUGGCCCUUUAAAGACACUUUUAAUACAAUCCUGCUGCUCCAAAUCUCCAAUGACAGCCUCCUUUCCCAAACCAACUUUCACCUCCUCUUCAGCCCCAGGGAUGAUAUGGCCAGUCAUUUCCAAUAAAGCAUUAAUGGGGAUAGUUACUGACUCCAAAUGUGCUUCACAUGCUGACAGGCCAACUGGGCCAUGAAGUUAAAAAUCACACUGGAGCUGGGGAGGCAGCAGGACACAUAGGCAGCCACAGUGUCUUGUUUUCUUCUCCAGGCCAGGGCAACUGAGCCUCCCUUUGCUUUGUGGAUCAUGCCAGUGAGGUCCUAUGCACCCUUCCAUCUUGGUUACAGUGGGUUCCAUGAACAUGACAACUACAGCUUAGGGCCUGCCUCGCUUUUUUUUUCCAGCUCCAGGAGAGGUUUUGUGAAAUCAUAGCAUAGCUAGCAUAUGUCAAUGCCUCAUCCACACAUUUUUUUUCUGAAUUCUUCUUGAACCUGUAAACCUUUCCACUUAUAUACUUCCUAGAGAAAACAGUAGAAUCCUAGAGCUGGAAACCAGUUUGCCUUUUUUUCUGGUGAGGAAAUUGAAGGACAGGUAUUGCAGAAUUGUCUGGCUAGCUCCAGUUUUAUACCUUCCCUCCCUGACAUCAUCAGCCAUUCACUGAUCAGACCUCUGUCGUGUGGUUACUAUGUGCCUGAUAUUGAAAUGGGCUCUGGGGAUGCAAAAAAGAAGGAGGCUGUGUCCUUUCCCCAACUGGUCUCAGUCUAGGAGUUGGAUAGAUGCCUAAAUACAUCUACACCUCACUGUAUGAGAUGCCAGCACAGAGACAGAGACAGGGACCUGAGAGACUUGAAUUACAUCCUUCAUUUCUUUCCAGAUUAAAAAAAAACUCCGAGUCCUUGAUAUUAUGAUCUUUUUUUGCUACCUCGAAGAAUAUAAUCCUUCUUGUUUAUUUUGGUGAUUUAAUUGCCAAUGGGUCACGGGGGAAAGGCAUUUUUUUGUCUUGAGUGACAAUACUGUAAUAUGAAGAUAUGCUGUUUCUACUGUGCUGCUUGCCAGCCUAAUGAUUAGCCCAAGAUCUACUGGGGCUAGAGGAUGGAUCAGUAGGCUUUUCCAUUAUGUGUGUGAAGAAUUUUAAUUUCCCAAAGGAAGGGGGUAGAAUCUGAGCUGUUUGCUCACAAUAAGGGCUAGGCUGAUAAUAAAUGUACACUACCAAGGCAUUAGGCCUUCUUCUCCCAAGUCACAAAAGGCCUACUCCUUUGGGACAGGCUCAAGGAAGCUGCUGAGCGCAAACCCAUGGCAGGUUCCCUCUG
Molecule: long non-coding RNA, 7609 nt
Filed under: Heterocephalus glaber (naked mole-rat)
Lineage: Eukaryota; Metazoa; Chordata; Mammalia; Rodentia; Bathyergidae
Description: lncRNA (ENSHGLG00100046584.1)
Rfam family: mir-122 microRNA precursor family (bases 3203-3275)
Source: RNAcentral